UAUACUUUGCUUUCAAAAGGAAAUGAUGAUUUUUGUUUUUUUUAACAUAUGACUAAUCUUGAAAAUUCUUUAGUAAUUUGUGGUGCAACUGUAGAUGUUGUUGUUGUUGUUGUUGUUUGUACCCAAGUGUUAAUGUAAAGUAGUUUGAAAGUGCAGUAGUAACCUUAACGAAGAAGAAAGAGUUUGUUAAAGCUGUUUUUUCUGUCUUUAUGCCAACAAAGUGCUUUUUAAUUUUCUUUAAAUUGCUUUCUCCAGCUACAGUCCAGAACUUUCAUAAAUAUAAUAUUGCAUUUAAAUAAUCAAAACAAUACUUGAGUUAUAGCUUUGUGAAUAGCGGCAAUAGGGUGAUCCCAACAGGAAUAGCAACUAGUCUUCGGUUUGAAUGACAAGUUAACUUGUAUUAGUCAAACAUCUACUCUCAUGUAAUGGAAAUCAACAAGCAGCACAAUCAGCACUAACACAUGUAGUCUACAAGAUAUUUUUAAUUGCUAUAACUUUUAUUUCUUUUUACUUUCGCUAAUACAUUUUAGCACCUAUUGGUAACUUAAAUACACAAAUACAUGAAUGUUCUUUCAACUCCUAAUUAAAAAAAUAAAAAACUUACCUGUGCUUUUAUUCUUUUAUUUUUUAAUUAGAUCAAAACAAACAGUUCAUCAAACCAUCUUCGCUUUUAUGUAGGAGAUACCAUAAGUGAAGAACAGUUUUUUUUUUGAGGUAAAGCCCUAGGGAAUGCUCACAUGAUCACAUGUGCUCCUGUACAGGCAGUACAGCAUGAAUUCAAGCAAAAAGAAAGUCUGCAAGAGCUUAAAAAAAUGUAUUUAUCAGUGAUAUAGACUAGUGCAUUUUUAUUUGAAACUGUAUAUAUCUAGGCUCGCUUUUGUGUUCCAACUUUAUUUACUGUGAAAUAAUGUAAAUGCACCCACCGGUCAGUCCACAAAGGUUGCUGGAAUUGUUUGGUUUUUUUUGCAAGCGAUUUACUGUAAAACAUUUCUACCUAUACUAUACACGUAUUGUAUAUAAAAUUGCAGCUAAAAAAGAGUGCUAGUUAUUUUACGCUUCUGCCAUUUCAGAUUGUUAUAUUUGUUAAAUAAAAAAAUGAAACGCUGUGUAUGGCUUUUUUAAUUACCUUCAUAAUUAAGCCACUAAGACUAUACAUUUCUACAAUUUUUUUGAAGAGCUCGUCACAAUUUAGGUCUUAAUUGUUUUCAAUAUUAACUCGUGAACUAUGUGUUUAGAAAAGAAAAGGUAGCUGUAAUUUUCUCACAGUGAAAGCCUGGAGGAGAAGAAGAAAAAUACUCCCUGCUGGGUGAUCCAGUGCACUAAAUGAAACCCCUGACAUGGUCUUGAAGAUGAUCUUGACAGUUUCCCUGAAAUUAGAACCGACACGCAAAGCCUUUUAACCAAAAUCCACAAAUCAGAAACUGAGCUGAAAUAUGAACGCAGGUGUAGAAUCAAUGCAGAAAAAGAACUAAGACAGUGGAAAGAAGUGAACAUCUUCACGGCACAGAUGAAAGGGACUGCGAAUUAACUCAAAUCAGUUUUGACAUAUGCCAAAGUUGGACUUGAAAAACCCCAAAACAAAACCAAUGUGACGACUCCAUGUGUAGAAAACCACAUCGUGGAAGAUGCAUUUGAAAGCAAUUCAAAGGAAGUUCGAAUUCUUGAGCUUCCUGGUGGGCUUCGAGUGCAGAAAACUUUGUACAGCAGAAUUUUAGCAACAGACUUUAAAAAGUACACCUCAGAACUUUUGACGGCGGUCUUCAAUAAAGAAACUCUGGCCACGCAUUCUCUCCAAGGAAGGAAAUCGUCCAAUGGAAAAGAGGAUCACCAAAAACCACCACUGCCCUCUGAAGCAUUGGCAGAUUUAAUAGAGCACAUCAAAAUCUAAUUUAGAGUCGACGCAAGCCUGAUUAGAGCCCGCCAUAAGGAUGAAAUUAAAUAACGAGGAUAAAAUGUUAAAGAAGAGACUGAACACUUUUCUGAACAUGUAGGUUGAAGAACAGCGACAUGUUUUUAUGUUUAAGUGUGGUGAGUCAUACUGGACACAUUCAAAAAUGCAAAUGUGGCUUCACACAGAUGAUAAGAAUCCACCCAUUCUGCACGGUUUCUGAGUAUAUGCAAGGGAGUACACCAGUUAACUAAUUGUAAGACUCCUCAUUAUUGUGACUGUGAAAUACGUAAUUCCCCGAAUUUAAAUCAGUGAUAUAUUUAAGACUUCCAGCUAGUCGAGCAGCUUUUUAUAUAGUAUUUAGAAGCUUGUCAUGUAUAUUCGUACAUGUUAAGCACAUGAUAUAUUAUAUUAUUGCAUACCCUAAAAAAACAUGUUCCAUGUUCAAUAAAAUGUGUUUAUUUCUUGUGUCAAAACAAUGUUUUAUAUAUUUUUUAUUAUUUCUGCAUAUAAAUUUGAUUCUAACUUGUGUUCCCGUUCUUCCUUUUUAGAUUAAGAGACUGACAAGUGGCGAGUUUGCAUUCAGUCAUGUUGCUGAUGAUUGAUAUGUUGUGCGCAGUUGAUUUUAAGGCAAUAUAUGUUUCUGCUUUUUACUUUAUGUAAGAGCAAAAUAAAACCAUGCAUUACCUUUUAAUCAAUUGUAGCACACUGUAUUUCAUUAUUGAUUUUGUAAAUAGUUGGCUAUACGGCAUAAUUUUAUAGCACAGCUAAGGCAUUGGUCUGCUGUUUGUUAUAUGCAGAAUGUAUACAAGAAAUGCUUGGUUUAUGUGGCUGUCAAUAAUAAAGAUAAUA
Long non-coding RNA from Polyodon spathula (Mississippi paddlefish), 2740 nucleotides. RefSeq lists it as uncharacterized. NCBI's taxonomy places the organism in Eukaryota, Metazoa, Chordata, Actinopteri, Acipenseriformes, Polyodontidae. The record is from RefSeq and is a predicted model, not a curated record. The transcript is spliced from 5 exons.